CCCUUAGAUGUUCUGGGCUGUACGCGCGCUACACUGAAGCUAUCAACACGUUUUCCCUCCCUGAGAAGGGCGGGUAACCUUUUGAAUCAGCUUCGUGGUAGGGAUCGGGGCUUGCAAUUGUUCCCCGUGAACCAGGAAUUCCUAGUAGACGCGAGUCAUAAGCUCGCAUCGAUUAAGUCCCUGCCCUUUGUACACACCGCCCGUCGCUACUACCGAUUGAACGUUUUAGUGAGGCAUUUGGACCGACGCAUCUCAGUUUAACCGCUGGUUUGUGUUGGAAAGACUUCCAAACUUGAGCGUUUAGAGGAAGUAAAAGUCGUAACA
RNAcentral lists this ribosomal RNA (324 nucleotides) under uncultured eukaryote. Its description in RNAcentral is "partial 18S ribosomal RNA". It matches the Rfam family "Eukaryotic small subunit ribosomal RNA", at positions 1470 to 1796 of the family's 1831-position model. The record is from RNAcentral.